Molecule: transfer RNA, 77 nt
Filed under: Oscillospiraceae bacterium
Lineage: Bacteria; Bacillati; Bacillota; Clostridia; Eubacteriales; Oscillospiraceae
Description: tRNA-Arg
Rfam family: tRNA
About the family: Transfer RNA (tRNA) molecules are approximately 80 nucleotides in length. Their secondary structure includes four short double-helical elements and three loops (D, anti-codon, and T loops).
Source: RNAcentral
GCGCCCAUAGCUCAGGCGGAUAGAGCAACUGCCUUCUAAGCAGUGGGCCGCUGGUUCGAGUCCAGCUGGGCGCGCCA